Non-coding RNA from Chlorocebus sabaeus (green monkey), 2438 nucleotides. The record is from RefSeq and is a predicted model, not a curated record. Lineage: Eukaryota; Metazoa; Chordata; Mammalia; Primates; Cercopithecidae.
CUCCUGGUACAUAAAUGCCUCUCCACACCCAGGGUGAGGAGGGACUUGGUUCAAAUGACUUGGAAUUUUGAAGGCUCCCUGAGUGUAUUCAGCUGUCUGUUGAAGUCCUCCACACUUGCUGGUGCAUGGUGGAUGCUUUCUCCUGGAACCUUUCCAUUUGCUGCUGCUUCUGCAUUUUCUCCUAGGCCUCCCGGGUCCGGGUCCACUUGUCUAGGCUGUGUCGCUUCUCCUCCUUGUUUUUGCUCAUCCCCACCAUCUCAGAUAGUUUCACCACAUCUUUGUCCUUCUUUUCUCUUCUGCUUGGUCACACUGAGCUCUGCAAUGUUUUUCAAUUUCAGGGAUACCUUUGGAUCUGCUUGUGGGCUACCAUGGAACUUCCUGCAGUUCGGAAUUUGAAGUGUGCUUGGUAGAGGAGUUCUGCUCAGAAAGAAUAUCUCAUAUAGCUGUAAUCAGUCGUGGCCUUGGGCAGCAGUUCACUGAAGUUUCCAAUUGGCUGGAUGUUCAAGAUCGCCCAUUCAAUCCUGGCAUUUGAGGCUGGCUGGCUGCGGUGUCUACAAGAAAAGUAAUUAAAUGCCCAACAGAGUAACGAGAAAAGUAAAACGAUGAACUAUUAAUGAAAUCAACAAGGAACAGAGAAACAGUCCACAACCAGCCUAGAAGCAAGGAGAGGGAAGAGUUACAUUUACCGCUAUUUGAAGUGAGAGCUGUGACUCCAGCAAUGGGAGACACCUUAUAGAAACUUUCAUCUUCAAGAAAGAAAUGGAACCACUGACAUCCCUGAGUCCAGCAAGCAAGAGGUCAAGGGAACAAAGACACCAUUCUCCUUCUCCUUUCCCCGACAACCUCCAGCUUGUAUUUCUCAUUGGCUGACCCCAAAGUAAAGACAGGACAAACAUCCUUUUGUUUUCAAAAUGGCCAGCAGCCCAGGAGAUGAAGCAAAGUGAAGAAGACAGGUGAGCUGAAGGGACAGGUGAAUCUCCAGGACCAUGACAGUUUGUUGUAGUUCCAGUCUUCCUGCCAUGACACAGAGGCCUGAAUGUACAUUGGCAACAGCAAGACAGAAAUGUUUCUCUCCUGUGUAAGUCUCCAAGGUGGAUAGUCCAGCACUGGUAAGUUUCCUCUGUUCCUCUAAACAUAAAGCUUCCCCCUCUGCAUCCAAAGAUGCUGCCAACACUCUUUAUCCUAGGCAGCGGAAAUGAGAAAAGCAUGCACACUGCUUUGAAUAGCUUGUCGUGAAGGGGACACGUGUCACUUCUCAUGGGCCAUUGUCCGAAACAAGGUCAUCCAUUGCACAAAGGGCCCAGCUAAGCCUUGGUGAUUUUCAUCAUGAAGGCGGAGAGAACGGAUGCUGGUGCGAUACCAUCAAAGGUGCUCCAGGCAGAAGAAAGAGCAUGUAUGAAAGCACUAGGACGUAAAGAAGCUUGUUUGGAAACAUUUAUGCCUGAAGAGAAUGAUGAUUACCAGUGUUCGUAAAUACGCAUACACAUAAACUUUUCCUGAAGUUUACACGUUAUGUCAUAUAUUGUGCACAAUAUUUCUCUUAAAGUGCCUUGUCUUGGACAGUCAACUUGCUACAUGGGCCAAUAAAAUGUGUAUGCUAAACAUACAGAUUGAGUUUAUUGCUGCAAUAAAAUAAAACUCAUGGCAAAUUUAAUAGGAUAUAUUUCUAAUGACAUGCAUAAUUGUCUUUUUGCUACAUGCUAAUUAUGUAGAUAUAAACGAAAUGCCAUUUCCAAAUAAUACUAACUGUAGUCACUUAAAUGGAAAACCAAAUCACGUAUUUAAUUCUCUGAGCUUCCUAAUAGACAUUUUCACUUGGAGUGUUUAAUUCUCUCUCCUAUGCAUCCUUGUGAGGCAAAGUGAACAAACACCAUUACCUGACGUUACCAUCUUCUGGGGCAGUUGUAUUUAACACUUUACUCUGAGACUCUCUGUGUUUAUUUUCUAUUAGCGACUGUCUCCUGUACAUAUCAUAUCUCUAAGGUAUUAUCACAUUGUCCUGCCCUUUUAUAAGGGCCAAGAGUGAAGUUAUGGUAGAGCAACGAUGCACAUUUAGAAAGAGGCAAUACAUUGUGAGGAGGUCAGUUCUCAUUUCCUACUUUUACAUUUCACCCCUUCUUUGACUCUAAGUUCUAACAGCUCAAAUUCAAUUAUCCUUCUCAGGCCUAUCCUAAGGAACAUAAUAAAUACAGGAUAUCUUCUCAAAUCUAUCUGCAGUAAUUGUGCUGGGUUUUAUAUGUCAAAUGACAGACUAAGUCAUUCCCUACUCAGAUAUAAAAUUCAUAAUAUGCAAUUUUUAUAAAAAUUAAUAAAUGUUGAAAUAGAAGGAAAUGUACCAUGUAAUUCACAAAAUUUGAAACCUUUUUGAAAGAGGAGGGCAUUAGAAAAAAUCACUGAAACUUGGAGGGUGAGAGUCUUUUUUUGGGAGUAAAAGGAAC